RNAcentral lists this ribosomal RNA (450 nucleotides) under uncultured bacterium. Its description in RNAcentral is "partial 16S ribosomal RNA". It matches the Rfam family "Bacterial small subunit ribosomal RNA", at positions 29 to 523 of the family's 1533-position model. The record is from RNAcentral.
AACGAACGCUGGCGGCAUGCCUAACACAUGCAAGUCGAACGGAUGUAGCAAUACAUUAGUGGCGCACGGGAUAGUAAUGCGUGGGGAUCUGCCUCAUAGUUCGGAAUAACACCGGGAAACUGGUGCUAAUACCGGAUACGCCCUUCGGGGGAAAGUUUUUCGCUAUGAGAGGAGCCCGCGUUGGAUUAGCUAGUUGGUGAGGUAAUGGCUCACCAAGGCGACGAUCCAUAGCUGGUCUGAGAGGACGAUCAGCAUCACUGGGACUGAGACACGGCCCAGACUCCUGCGGGCGGCAGCAGUGGGGAAUAUUGGACAAUGGGGGAAACCCUGAUCCAGCAAUGCCGCGUGGGUGAUGAAGGUCUUCGGAUUGUAAAGCCCUUUUGGCAGGGACGAUGAUGACGGUACCUGCAGAAUAAGCUCCGGCUAACUUCGUGCCAGCCGCCGCAGUAA